UUUCCCGACGUAAUCCGCCAGGCGGGGAGUGUAGGUUUCCUUGGGGAGGAGACGCCCUUUGGUUGGUCCUGGCAAGGACCGUGUUUCGGUCGCAGGCACUGUGGGAAACGGAAAAAGAAAGCGAAUUCGAAUAAGACAGCCCCGGUGGAGUCAUGCUUCUUGUGCAGGUGUUUUCCCUUCUUUGCAGCGUUCUGCCUCAAAAAUCAGAUGUCUUUCCCACCGCCGUCUAGCAUACCCCUUGUCAGUUAAAACGUGCAGGGCUUGAAAGCGCGUUAUGGGGGACUUCCCAGUGCAGAAGCGAAGAGAAGAUGCCUGUAACACUGAUGCCAACAGAAGGAGGCACCCUUGGUUGGUGCGUACAGGGCCCAGUGACAGACGAAGAGGGACUUUAACCACCAACUCAGCUUAGGAGGAAGCCAAGAAAGAAGGUUUUCUAUCUCUCAGCCUAGAGAAGAAGAGAGAGCUCAAGAGGGGAGGGGACAGAGAGAGAGGGAGAGAAUCCCAAGCAGCCUUCAUGACCAGUGUGGAGCUCUACACAGGGGUCAAUCCCACAACCUGAGCCAAAAUCAAGAGUCCAGUGUUCAACCGACUGAGCCACUCAGGUGCCCCAAGUAGUACAGCCUUCUUGAACUGUCUCCCAACAAGUCAAAACUCUGAGUUUAGGCUGGGCAGCUGCCUUUGCCCCAGCCAUUUUUGCACAGAACCACAUAUGAAAAAAUUUGGGCAAGUUCUGAGAACAGUAUACCAUAUUGUUGAGGGAGGGAAAGGGACUUCUACGCUUGUUAUAAGUGAAAGAAGGCAUGAGUAGAAUCAGUCAGUGACUCAAAGAAUGACACACCAAUUCACUCAGGCUGCAAAUGAUACCACAUUUUAUAAAGCAAAUGAUCCUAAAAUGUGUAAUGAUUUCAUAUUUGUACAACUUACGAUUUACUUUUUUAAAUAUUUUAAAAUAUCUUAAAAAUACUUUUGUAAAAUAUUUCCUGAUUCCUGCUAAAAUGAUUUAAUCUUUCUCCUUUAAAUUCCUAAUUAGGACGUGUGUUUGUGCAUUGCAUUUGCUUGUCUAUAAUGCAUAUUUGUGUUGAAGGUGUAUAGACUUAGGGGAGUUUGCAUAGUCCUUCCCAACCUUU
Long non-coding RNA from Prionailurus viverrinus (fishing cat), 1127 nucleotides. RefSeq lists it as uncharacterized. The record is from RefSeq and is a predicted model, not a curated record. NCBI's taxonomy places the organism in Eukaryota, Metazoa, Chordata, Mammalia, Carnivora, Felidae. The transcript is spliced from 3 exons.